RNAcentral lists this ribosomal RNA (560 nucleotides) under Penicillium sp. RNAcentral's name for it is "SSU rRNA". It matches the Rfam family "Eukaryotic small subunit ribosomal RNA", at positions 32 to 582 of the family's 1831-position model. The record is from RNAcentral. Lineage: Eukaryota; Fungi; Ascomycota; Eurotiomycetes; Eurotiales; Aspergillaceae.
UGUAGUCAAUUAUGUUGUCUCAAAGAUUAAGCCAUGCAUGUCUAAGUAUAAGCACUUUAUACUGUGAAACUGCGAAUGGCUCAUUAAAUCAGUUAUCGUUUAUUUGAUAGUACCUUACUACAUGGAUACCUGUGGUAAUUCUAGAGCUAAUACAUGCUAAAAACCCCGACUUCAGGAAGGGGUGUAUUUAUUAGAUAAAAAACCAACGCCCUUCGGGGCUCCUUGGUGAAUCAUAAUAACUUAACGAAUCGCAUGGCCUUGCGCCGGCGAUGGUUCAUUCAAAUUUCUGCCCUAUCAACUUUCGAUGGUAGGAUAGUGGCCUACCAUGGUGGCAACGGGUAACGGGGAAUUAGGGUUCGAUUCCGGAGAGGGAGCCUGAGAAACGGCUACCACAUCCAAGGAAGGCAGCAGGCGCGCAAAUUACCCAAUCCCGAUACGGGGAGGUAGUGACAAUAAAUACUGAUACGGGGCUCUUUCGGGUCUCGUAAUUGGAAUGAGAACAAUUUAAAUCCCUUAACGAGGAACAAUUGGAGGGCAAGUCUGUGCCCCACCAAGCCAAA